RNAcentral lists this ribosomal RNA (468 nucleotides) under uncultured bacterium. Its description in RNAcentral is "partial 16S ribosomal RNA". It matches the Rfam family "Bacterial small subunit ribosomal RNA", at positions 28 to 507 of the family's 1533-position model. The record is from RNAcentral.
GACGAACGCUGGCGGCGUGCUUAACACAUGCAAGUCGAACGGAAAGGCCCUGCUUUUGUGGGGUGCUCGAGUGGCGAACGGGUGAGUAACACGUGAGUAACCUGCCCUUGACUUUGGGAUAACUUCAGGAAACUGGGGCUAAUACCGGAUAGGAGCUCCUGCUGCAUGGUGGGGGUUGGAAAGUUUCGGCGGUUGGGGAUGGACUCGCGGCUUAUCAGCUUGUUGGUGGGGUAGUGGCUUACCAAGGCUUUGACGGGUAGCCGGCCUGAGAGGGUGACCGGCAACAUGGGGACUGAGAUGCGGCCCGGACUCCUACGGGGGGCAGAAGGGGGAAAUAUUGCACAAGGGGCGGAGGCCUGAUGCAGCAACGCCGGGUGCGGGAUGGCGGCCUUCGGGUGUAAACCCGUUUUCGCCUGGGAAGAAGCGUGAGUGAGGGUAAUGGGUAAAGAGGCACGGGAAAAUUACGUC